RNAcentral lists this transfer RNA (61 nucleotides) under human gut metagenome. It matches the Rfam family "tRNA", at positions 7 to 64 of the family's 71-position model. From Rfam's summary of the family: Transfer RNA (tRNA) molecules are approximately 80 nucleotides in length. Their secondary structure includes four short double-helical elements and three loops (D, anti-codon, and T loops). Further hydrogen bonds mediate the characteristic L-shaped molecular structure. tRNAs have two regions of fundamental functional importance: the anti-codon, which is responsible for specific mRNA codon recognition, and the 3' end, to which the tRNAs corresponding amino acid is attached (by aminoacyl-tRNA synthetases). tRNAs cope with the degeneracy of the genetic code in two manners: having more than one tRNA (with a specific anti-codon) for a particular amino acid; and 'wobble' base-pairing, i.e. permitting non-standard base-pairing at the 3rd anti-codon position. The record is from RNAcentral.
AUUAGCUCAGCUGGUAGAGCAGUAGACUCUUAAUCUAUUUGUCCAGGGUUCGAAUCCCUGA